GGGGAAUAUUGCACAAUGGGCGCAAGCCUGAUGCAGCCAUGCCGCGUGUAUGAAGAAGGCCUUCGGGUUGUAAAGUACUUUCAGCGGGGAGGAAGGGAGUAAAGUUAAUACCUUUGCUCAUUGACGUACCCGCAGAGAGCCGAUGCGUCUUC
RNAcentral lists this ribosomal RNA (152 nucleotides) under uncultured bacterium. RNAcentral describes it as "partial 16S ribosomal RNA". It matches the Rfam family "Bacterial small subunit ribosomal RNA", at positions 356 to 503 of the family's 1533-position model. The record is from RNAcentral.